RNAcentral lists this ribosomal RNA (405 nucleotides) under uncultured prokaryote. RNAcentral describes it as "bacterial SSU rRNA". It matches the Rfam family "Bacterial small subunit ribosomal RNA", at positions 355 to 774 of the family's 1533-position model. The record is from RNAcentral.
UGGGGAAUAUUGGGCAAUGGGCGCAAGCCUGACCCAGCAACGCCGCGUGAGGGAAGAAGGUCUUCGGAUUGUAAACCUCUGUCCUUGGGGACGAAAAAAAUGACGGUACCCAAGGAGGAAGCUCCGGCUAACUACGUGCCAGCAGCCGCGGUAAUACGUAGGGAGCAAGCGUUGUCCGGAAUUACUGGGCGUAAAGGGUGCGUAGGCGGUCAGGCAAGUCAGAUGUGAAAUCCCCGGGCUUAACUCGGGUGGUGCAUUUGAAACUGCUUGACUUGAGUGCAGGAGAGGAAAGCGGAAUUCCUAGUGUAGCGGUGAAAUGCGUAGAUAUUAGGAGGAACACCAGUGGCGAAGGCGGCUUUCUGGACUGUAACUGACGCUGAGGCACGAAAGUGUGGGGAGCAAACA